GAUGAACGCUGGCGGCGUGCCUAAUACAUGCAAGUCGAGCGAACAGACGAGGAGCUUGCUCCUCUGACGUUAGCGGCGGACGGGUGAGUAACACGUGGAUAACCUACCUAUAAGACUGGGAUAACUUCGGGAAACCGGAGCUAAUACCGGAUAAUAUAUUUAACCGCAUGGUUCAAUAGUGAAAGACGGUUUUGCUGUCACUUAUAGAUGGAUCCGCGCCGCAUUAGCUAGUUGGUAAGGUAACGGCUUACCAAGGCAACGAUGCGUAGCCGACUUGAGAGAGUGAUCGGCCACACUGGACCUGAGACACGGUCCAGACUCCUACGGGAGGCAGCAGUAGGGAAUCUUCCGCAAUGGGCGAAAGCUUGACGGAGCAACGCCGCGUGAGUGAUGAAGGUCUUCGGAUCGUAAAACUCUGUUAUUAGGGAAGAACACAUGUGUAAGUAACUAUGCACGUCUUGACGGUACCUAAUCAGAAAGCCACGGCUAACUACGUG
RNAcentral lists this ribosomal RNA (497 nucleotides) under uncultured bacterium. Its description in RNAcentral is "partial 16S ribosomal RNA". It matches the Rfam family "Bacterial small subunit ribosomal RNA", at positions 28 to 507 of the family's 1533-position model. The record is from RNAcentral.